AAUAUUGUGCAAUGGAGGGAACUCUGACGCAGCGACGCCGCGUGAGCGAUGAAGGUUUUCGGACCGUAAAGCCCUGUCCUUGGGGCAGAAGGCGGCCAUUUUUGGCAACCUUACGGUACCCACGGAGGAAGCCCCGGCUAACGACGUGCCAGCAGCCGCGGUAAUACGUAGGGGGCAAGCGUUGUCCGGAAUUAUUGGGCGUAAAGGGUGCGUAGGCGGCCUUUUAAGUCAGAUGUGAAAGACCACGGCUUAACCGUGGGGUUGCAUUUGAAACUGGAGGGCUUGAGUAUCGGAGAGGGUAGUUGAAUUCCCAGUGUAGCGGUGGAAUGCGUAGAUAUUGGGAGGAACACCAGUGGCGAAGGCGACUACCUGGACGAAAACUGACGCUGAGGCACGAAAGCUAGGGGAGCAAACA
This 415-nucleotide ribosomal RNA is filed under the name uncultured bacterium. Its description in RNAcentral is "partial 16S ribosomal RNA". It matches the Rfam family "Bacterial small subunit ribosomal RNA", at positions 360 to 774 of the family's 1533-position model. The record is from RNAcentral.